CACGUUUGAAUGCGACAACAGUUAAAAAGGUAAGCUGGGUUGAUGUUAGACUCUGAAUAUGUAUCGAAAUAAUUGAUAUAAUAAUAUAAAAUACUAAUGAAUAACGAAGACAAUAAUGGUCUUCUGUGAAUAGCUUCCAUUACGUUAGCUGUCACGUUAGCUAGCUAUAGUUCAGAAGAAUUAACGUAAAUAUUAGAAAGCCGAGUUUGACCGUUGUAUGAACUACAGUAGCUAGCUAGCUAACGUUAGCUAACGUUAUGUCCUAACUAGACAUAACUAUGUUUGUAUUAUUUCCUGAACUAUAUUCUGUCCUAUAUAUUGUAUAUCGUUUCCAUAACGUCAACAUGGCUUCACACUCAUUAACGUAAGUUUCCAAUCUAGAGCAGUUAUCGCACUUUUGUGAGAAUGAACUAGCUAGCUUCGUUGACGCGAGCGAACUAACUAAGGACGGUGACCUGUCCAGACGAGACUGAAUCUGUCAAUGACAGAACAUGGACACGAUGCAAUUGGGAUCAAGAAGAAGAAAUUCUGAAGUAUAUCGAUGGUCAGUGGAGGAUGUCUGUCAGUGGCUUCAGUAAAAUCAGUUGGAGGACUACACCUCUCCUUUCCAAGCCAUGCACAUGCCUAUGUGGUUGAGGAAAGUCUCCAGUGGGCAGCCGUGGUGCCUGGGGAGGAACUAGCAUUCCAUGGUCUGGACAGCUACCUUGAUCCCGAGGGGAGACUCACAAUCCCUCUCGGGCAUUGGAUUUGCAGACCACCUCAUCGAUGGUGAGACACUCAUGGGCUUGAACGGCAGGAUGAUCGAACAGCUGUUUCCUGUCAUGAAAACUCAAGUUCGAUUUGCUAAAUUAAUUGGAAAUUUAAAGAAGUAUGUAGCUGUGAGCUCUCUCCAACAAGACCAACCCACCACAAUUUGCUACCAGCCCCAACUACCAGCCAACAACCAACCAACAACCACCAACCAACACAAAACUGUGGCCCACAAUAUUCACCCUUCCUGAGUUCCCCACAGUCCUGCAGUGUAAACUCAACCAACAGAGUGAAGAUUUCCACUCUCCCACUCAACAGUCCAAGUGGAGGAGCCAAAUCAUCCAAGUUUAAUUUGAUACCAUGUGCACAUAUACCUGGUACCCUACAAGCAGACAAUAUACCGAUGUCUGCACAUAAUUGGUGGCCAACUACCCAUUUCUAAGGGACCGUUGUGAUGAGUGUGAUGGAAAGGAGUCAGGCGCAGGAGGUGGUUAGUAAGCCGGUGACGACGAACGCUGAAGCCUGCCCGAACAAGGAGGGGAGGCAGCCUCGGCCGAAGUCGUGACAACAGUACAGGACAAGGAUAUGAAUCAUGGCAUGGGAUGAUAAAAAAUAAAUUCAAAAAAGAGGUUGCAAUCAUCAGAGCUAAGUUCACACAGAAAAUGAGUUCUGAUGGGAAUGCAGCACCAGCAUCAAAGACAGCUAAGGUGACUAAUGACGUGCAUGAUGUGGAGCUACUUGGGGGCGUGUCUGCUACACCACUUUUGAACCAAGCAUUGAUACAGAGUGCAGAGGACACUUUCAGUGUGACAAAGCACAUCAAAGAAUGAGGGAGGAAUGCAAAAGAAACCAUCCUGACCGUAGCCUCCUGCAGGACAAAAUGAAGAGGAACCCGGUGGAAAGAUACCAUUUUAUCGGCACCCACCACACCAAAGAGAUCCUUAAUGAGUUUCCUGCACAGCUGCAUUAUCUUCUCAGAAAUGAAUCAAAAAGAUAAUUCAAGGUUAGUGGCAAAAUGCUAGCAGAGGUAGAGAGGCGAGGCAGGGGUGAGGACAUCAUCCUGCUGUUUCGACAGUCCCUGAAGGACAAUACAGAAGAGGCACACAGGGGACUCGAGACCACAGCAGCGAUCCUGCUCUUGCCCUACCUCUUCCGUGACAAGAUUUCACCGCUCCCAACUCCUUUACAGCACAUCGGCGGAAAUCCAUUUCCCCAUGAGAGUGAAAUCACACUGGCCUUUGAUGGGGAGAACAUCCACGCUCUAGAGGACGUCCCCAUGGGAAUUGGGGCUCUGCUAGGGCUGAUUUUUUUAUUUUAAGUUAAAUUUCCCAAAAAUGUCAGAAAACACUUAUGUUCUAAUGUUACUGUGUUCUGGGGAUAAGAGAAGUUGGGGUGAAGUUACCAGGGCCGGUCAUAAAGAUGGCAAACUUCCUAACAUAACUAAGUGGUUGUUGGGCAAGUGGUUGUUGGACACACAUACUAAAGCAACAAAAUGCAAGUCUACAAUAUUGUUAGUUUACCGAUGAUUCAUUUUUAAUGUAUGUUGUUUUUAUCAUUAUUUUAAUUUUUAAAAUUGUAAUGAAAAGCUCUAUACACAAAAAAUUAGGGGUCCAGAAUGAUUUUGCAGUGCAUGGUGAUCAAACAGGUUUCCUGUUAUAUUUAUGAAAGAGAUUGGUGUUUUUUCACCAUCUAAUCACAGCAUGGGGUACUUUACACCACUGCUUAAUGGUUUCAUUUCGGAGAGACAAAUAAUCAUGUUUUGUUGCAAAACGCCAC
Coregonus clupeaformis (lake whitefish) is the source of this 2526-nucleotide long non-coding RNA. RefSeq lists it as uncharacterized. NCBI's taxonomy places the organism in Eukaryota, Metazoa, Chordata, Actinopteri, Salmoniformes, Salmonidae. The transcript has 14 exons. The record is from RefSeq and is a predicted model, not a curated record.